This 629-nucleotide ribosomal RNA is filed under the name Schwanniomyces polymorphus. Its description in RNAcentral is "eukaryotic LSU rRNA". It matches the Rfam family "Eukaryotic large subunit ribosomal RNA", at positions 1 to 599 of the family's 3401-position model. Lineage: Eukaryota; Fungi; Ascomycota; Pichiomycetes; Serinales; Debaryomycetaceae. The record is from RNAcentral.
AUUAUUGGCUCGGCCUUACAAUACAACAAACAAGUUUGACCUCAAAUCAGGUAGGACUACCCGCUGAACUUAAGCAUAUCAAUAAGCGGAGGAAAAGAAACCAACAGGGAUUGCCUCAGUAACGGCGAGUGAAGCGGCAAAAGCUCAAAUUUGAAAUCUGGCACCUUCGGUGUCCGAGUUGUAAUUUGAAGAAGGUAACUUUGGAGUUGGCUCUUGUCUAUGUUCCUUGGAACAGGACGUCACAGAGGGUGAGAAUCCCGUGCGAUGAGAUGCCCAAUUCUAUGUAAAGUGCUUUCGAAGAGUCGAGUUGUUUGGGAAUGCAGCUCUAAGUGGGUGGUAAAUUCCAUCUAAAGCUAAAUAUUGGCGAGAGACCGAUAGCGAACAAGUACAGUGAUGGAAAGAUGAAAAGAACUUUGAAAAGAGAGUGAAAAAGUACGUGAAAUUGUUGAAAGGGAAGGGCUUGAGAUCAGACUUGGUAUUUUGCAAGCCUUACCUUCGUGGUGGGGUCCCCUGCAGUUUACUGGGCCAGCAUCGGUUUGGAUGGUAGGAUAAUGACUUGGGAAUGUGACUUUGCUUCGGUAAAGUGUUAUAGCCCUUGUUGAUACUGCCUGUCUAGACCGAGGACUGCG